RNAcentral lists this ribosomal RNA (252 nucleotides) under uncultured bacterium. Its description in RNAcentral is "partial 16S ribosomal RNA". It matches the Rfam family "Bacterial small subunit ribosomal RNA", at positions 524 to 776 of the family's 1533-position model. The record is from RNAcentral.
CACGUAGGGGGCAAGCGUUGUUCGGAAUUAUUGGGCGUAAAGGGCAUGUAGGCGGUUUUGUAAGUCUGGCGUGAAAUGGUAAGGCUUAACCUUAUCCUGCGUCGGAAACUGCGAGACUAGAAUCACUGAGGGGAAAUCAGAAUUCCAGGUGUAGGGGUGAAAUCUGUAGAUAUCUGGAAGAAUACCAGUGGCGAAGGCGGAUUUCUGGCAGAUGAUUGACGCUGAGGUGCGAAAGCGUGGGGAGCAAACAGG